GACGAACGCUGGCGGCGUGCUUAACACAUGCAAGUCGAACGGAAAGGCCCUGCUUUUGUGGGGUGCUCGAGUGGCGAACGGGUGAGUAACACGUGAGUAACCUGCCCUUGACUUUGGGAUAACUUCAGGAAACUGGGGCUAAUACCGGAUAGGAGCUCCUGCUGCAUGGUGGGGGUUGGAAAGUUUCGGCGGUUGGGGAUGGACUCGCGGCUUAUCAGCUUGUUGGUGGGGUAGUGGCUUACCAAGGCUUUGACGGGUAGCCGGCCUGAGAGGGUGACCGGGCACAUUGGGACUGAGAUACGGCCCAGACUGCUACGGGAGGCAGCAGUGGGAAAUAUUGCGCAAUGGGCGGAAGCCUGAUACAGCGGCGCCGCGUGCGGGAUGACGGCCUUCGGGUUGUAAACCGCUUUCGCCUGUGACGAAGCGUGAGUGACGGUAAUGGAUAAAGAAGCACCGGCUAACUACGUG
Molecule: ribosomal RNA, 468 nt
Filed under: uncultured bacterium
Lineage: Bacteria
Description: partial 16S ribosomal RNA
Rfam family: Bacterial small subunit ribosomal RNA
Source: RNAcentral